CAAGUACUCCCUCCGUCUGGAAUUACUUGUCAUCAAAAUGGAUGUGUCUAGAACUAAAAUACAUCUAGAUACAUCCAUUUCAAUGACAAGUAUUUUUGGACGGAGGGAGUACAAG
This is a non-coding RNA of Triticum urartu, 115 nucleotides long. NCBI's taxonomy places the organism in Eukaryota, Viridiplantae, Streptophyta, Magnoliopsida, Poales, Poaceae. The record is from Rfam.